This is a long non-coding RNA of Biomphalaria glabrata, 744 nucleotides long. RefSeq lists it as uncharacterized. The record is from RefSeq and is a predicted model, not a curated record. NCBI's taxonomy places the organism in Eukaryota, Metazoa, Mollusca, Gastropoda, Planorbidae. The transcript has 6 exons.
UCUAGUAACACUUGUAAACAAUGAAAACUUUUUGGAAUCUCAAUCUGGGACCGUCACCCUGGGAUCUACAUAACGGGGGAGGGAAGGAGCAAAAACAAAUGAGAGUGCCAUCGAACGUCCAUGCCAACCAGCAAAAUUAUUAGGCCUAACACAACUUCAAAGACAUCAAAGCAGUGUUGAAGUCCAUGCCGCUCGUGCAUAGCAAAAAAAAAGAUUUGUGCAGACUCCAUCCUGUAAGUCAGUUCAUGAACAGAUUGAUAUACACAAAAUGUCAGGAGGCAGGAUUGGCAAAGUGGCAUUAAUCUUUUCUAUGUCCAGACAAUGUUCCUACAUGAAGUCAUGUAAAGUACAUGGAUGAAGAUGUGCAUAGAGAACUGAACAGGGCAUUGGGACAUUGGAAUUAAGAUCAAACAAACAUGGAGGAAAUGUAUUUCCAGAACUAAACAUGCCUCCUUGCCAUUGUGAUUGAGGCCACAAUGACAACAAAAGAACAAAAAAAAAUGUGACUCCUGGCCACUCUACAUGUUUGUUUGGAAACUGUAGACAAAGUGUCAGUUGAUCUCAAAUUUAUUAAAUUGAUAAAAUAAUCCAUAAGUUGUUUGGCAUUUAAUUAUAUUGCAUAUGUAAAUAAUUAAAGAAGUUGUAUAAAAAGACAUACACUAAUAUUUUGGUACAAACACAAAACGAAAUUGAAAGAUUUUAUUCAACAUGUCACUCUUUACUAAGCAAGAAAUGUGUAUCUAU